Molecule: ribosomal RNA, 483 nt
Filed under: uncultured bacterium
Lineage: Bacteria
Description: partial 16S ribosomal RNA
Rfam family: Bacterial small subunit ribosomal RNA
Source: RNAcentral
AUUGAACGCUGGCGGCAGGCCUAACACAUGCAAGUCGAGCGGAUGAAGGGAGCUUGCUCCUGGAUUCAGCGGCGGACGGGUGAGUAAUGCCUAGGAAUCUGCCUGGUAGUGGGGGAUAACGUCCGGAAACGGGCGCUAAUACCGCAUACGUCCUGAGGGAGAAAGUGGGGGAUCUUCGGACCUCACGCUAUCAGAUGAGCCUAGGUCGGAUUAGCUAGUUGGUGGGGUAAAGGCCUACCAAGGCGACGAUCCGUAACUGGUCUGAGAGGAUGAUCAGUCACACUGGAACUGAGACACGGUCCAGACUCCUACGGGAGGCAGCAGUGGGGAAUAUUGGACAAUGGGCGAAAGCCUGAUCCAGCCAUGCCGCGUGUGUGAAGAAGGUCUUCGGAUUGUAAAGCACUUUAAGUUGGGAGGAAGGGCAGUAAGUUAAGACCUUGCUGUUUGGACGUGACCAACAGAAUAAGCACCGGCUAACUGCGU